Molecule: long non-coding RNA, 160 nt
Organism: Thalassophryne amazonica
Lineage: Eukaryota; Metazoa; Chordata; Actinopteri; Batrachoidiformes; Batrachoididae
Exons: 2
Source: RefSeq, a predicted model, not a curated record
ACGCUGGAAGGAUUACAUAUCUCGGCUGGCUUGGGAAUGCCUUGGGGUUCCCCCAGAGGAGCUGGGGGAGGUGUGUGUGGAUCGGGAGGUCUGGGCUACUCUGCUCCAGCUGUUGCCCCCACAACCCGGCCCCGGAUAAGUGGACGAAAAUAGAUGGACG